This 479-nucleotide ribosomal RNA is filed under the name uncultured bacterium. Its description in RNAcentral is "bacterial SSU rRNA". It matches the Rfam family "Bacterial small subunit ribosomal RNA", at positions 9 to 530 of the family's 1533-position model. The record is from RNAcentral.
GAGUUUGAUCCUGGCUCAGAGCGAACGCUGGCGGCAGGCUUAACACAUGCAAGUCGAGCGGGCGUAGCAAUACGUCAGCGGCAGACGGGUGAGUAACGCGUGGGAACGUACCUUUUGGUUCGGAACAACACAGGGAAACUUGUGCUAAUACCGGAUAAGCCCUUACGGGGAAAGAUUUAUCGCCAAAAGAUCGGCCCGCGUCUGAUUAGCUAGUUGGUGAGGUAACGGCUCACCAAGGCGACGAUCAGUAGCUGGUCUGAGAGGAUGAUCAGCCACAUUGGGACUGAGACACGGCCCAAACUCCUACGGGAGGCAGCAGUGGGGAAUAUUGGACAAUGGGCGCAAGCCUGAUCCAGCCAUGCCGCGUGAGUGAUGAAGGCCCUAGGGUUGUAAAGCUCUUUUGUGCGGGAAGAUAAUGACGGUACCGCAAGAAUAAGCCCCGGCUAACUUCGUGCCAGCAGCCGCGGUAAUCGCCCAAU